UUAAACGGCCGCGGUACCCUAACCGUGCAAAGGUAGCAUAAUCACUUGUCCCCUAAAUAGGGACUAGAAUGAACGGUCAAAUGAGGACUAAACUGUCUCUUAUAUUCAACCAAUAAAACUGAUCUCUUAGUCCAAAAGCUGAGAUAUAAACAUAAGACGAGAAGACCCUGUGGAGCUUCUAAACCAGACUCAUUAACCAUGCCCAUCUGGUUUUUAGUUGGGGCGACUUCGGAGUACAAAAAAACCUCCGACACAGAGUAAUCCUCUACACCUAGAUUAACACACCAAAAUAAUAAUACCUGAUCCAGUAGUUAUUCAACUAUCUGAUUAAUGAACCAAGUUACCCCAGGGAUAACAGCGCCAUCCUCUUCUAGAGUCCAUAUCGACAAGAGGGUUUACGACCUCGAUGUUGGAUCAGGACACCCAAAUAGUGCAGCCGCUAUUAAUGGUUCGUUUGUUCAACGAUAAAAGUCCUACGUGAUCU
RNAcentral lists this ribosomal RNA (484 nucleotides) under Australolacerta australis. RNAcentral describes it as "partial 16S ribosomal RNA". It matches the Rfam family "Bacterial large subunit ribosomal RNA", at positions 1923 to 2606 of the family's 2925-position model. Lineage: Eukaryota; Metazoa; Chordata; Lepidosauria; Squamata; Lacertidae. The record is from RNAcentral.